RNAcentral lists this ribosomal RNA (850 nucleotides) under uncultured fungus. RNAcentral describes it as "SSU rRNA". It matches the Rfam family "Eukaryotic small subunit ribosomal RNA", at positions 564 to 1446 of the family's 1831-position model. The record is from RNAcentral. Lineage: Eukaryota; Fungi.
GUGCCAGCAGCCGCGGUAAUUCCAGCUCCAAUAGCGUAUAUUAAAGUUGUUGUGGUUAAAAAGCUCGUAGUUGAACCUUGGGCCUGGCUGGCCGGUCCGCCUCACCGCGUGCACUGGUCCGGCCGGGCCUUUCCCUCUGUGGAACCCCAUACCCUUCACUGGGCGUGGCGGGGAAACAGGACAUUUACUUUGAAAAAAUUAGAGUGCUCCAGGCAGGCCUAUGCUCGAAUACAUUAGCAUGGAAUAAUAAAAUAGGACGCGCGGUUCUAUUUUGUUGGUUUAUAGGACCGCCGUAAUGAUUAAUAGGGACAGUCGGGGGCAUCAGUAUUCAACUGUCAGAGGUGAAAUUCUUGGAUCAGUUGAAGACUAACUACUGCGAAAGCAUUUGCCAAGGAUGUUUUCAUUAAUCAGGAACGAAAGUUAGGGGAUCGAAGACGAUCAGAUACCGACGUAGUCUUAACCAUAAACUAUGCCGACUAGGGAUCGGACGGUGUUAUUCAUGACCCGUUCGGCACCUUACGAGAAAUCAAAGUGCUUGGGCUCCAGGGGGAGUAUGGUCGCAAGGCUGAAACUUAAAGAAAUUGACGGAAGGGCACCACCAGGGGUGGAGCCUGCGGCUUAAUUUGACUCAACACGGGGAAACUCACCAGGUCCAGACACAAUAAGGAUUGACAGAUUGAGAGCUCUUUCUUGAUUUUGUGGUGGUGGUGCAUGGCCGUUCUUAGUUGGUGGGGUGACCUGUCUGCUUAAUUGCGAUAACGAACGAGACCUUACCUGCUAAAUAGCCCGCAUUGCUCCGGCAGUGCGCUGGCUUCUUAGAGGGACUUUCGGCUCAAGCCGAAAGGAAGUU